GACGAACGCUGGCGGCGUGCUUAACACAUGCAAGUCGAGCGGUAAGGCCCUUUCGGGGGUACACGAGCGGCGAACGGGUGAGUAACACGUGGGUGACCUGCCUUCAGCUCUGGGAUAAGCCUGGGAAACCGGGUCUAAUACCGGAUAUGACUCCAUGACGCAUGUUGUGGGGUGGAAAGCCUUGUGCGGCUGAGGAUGGGCCCGCGGCCUAUCAGCUUGUUGGUGGGGUGAUGGCCUACCAAGGCGACGACGGGUAGCCGGCCUGAGAGGGCGACCGGCCGCACUGGGACUGAGACACGGCCCAGACUCCUACGGGAGGCAGCAGUGGGGAAUCUUGCGCAAUGGGCGAAAGCCUGACGCAGCGACGCCGCGUGAGGGAUGACGGCCU
RNAcentral lists this ribosomal RNA (388 nucleotides) under uncultured bacterium. RNAcentral describes it as "bacterial SSU rRNA". It matches the Rfam family "Bacterial small subunit ribosomal RNA", at positions 28 to 417 of the family's 1533-position model. The record is from RNAcentral.